Molecule: small RNA, 91 nt
Filed under: Salmonella enterica subsp. enterica serovar Enteritidis
Lineage: Bacteria; Pseudomonadati; Pseudomonadota; Gammaproteobacteria; Enterobacterales; Enterobacteriaceae
Description: partial RtT sRNA
Rfam family: RtT RNA
About the family: This family represents a bacterial cis-regulatory element known as RtT RNA. The exact function of RtT is unknown although it is thought that it may be involved in changing the cellular response in relation to amino acid starvation.
Source: RNAcentral
CCUCGAUCCGACCCCACCGAGAAAGCGUUGCCGCAGGCAACGACCCGAAGGGCGAAGCGCGCAGCGCUGAGUCAUCCUUCCCCCACCACCA